GCAUUAAUGGGGUAGUGGUAACCUGGGUCGUUGCCAUGAGGAUCAAGUCGACCCACCGGGAGUUCGAUUCUCUCUUAAUGCA
Lyophyllum atratum is the source of this 82-nucleotide non-coding RNA. The record is from the annotation of a GenBank genome assembly. Lineage: Eukaryota; Fungi; Basidiomycota; Agaricomycetes; Agaricales; Lyophyllaceae.